RNAcentral lists this long non-coding RNA (259 nucleotides) under Mytilus galloprovincialis (Mediterranean mussel). The record is from RNAcentral. Lineage: Eukaryota; Metazoa; Mollusca; Bivalvia; Mytilida; Mytilidae.
AUAAAAGUUUUGGUCAUAAUAUGAUUAAAUAUUUAUUAAAAUAAGAUGUGGUAUGACAAUGUAUGAUGAAUGAUGAAUGAGAAAACUAUCCAACAGAAUUCAAUUUAGUGGAUGUAAGCAUUGUAAUUACUUAUUAGAGGCCAUUGAUGACCUGUAAGUAAUGAGAAAACCCAUACCCUAUACAUGUGAUAGUAAUCUAUAAAAGACAACACUAACAAAAUUUGAAACAAAGCAUCAAUUCAAACUUCAAAUAUACCAG